UGGGGAAUAUUGGACAAUGGGCGCAAGCCUGAUCCAGCAAUGCCGCGUGGGUGAAGAAGGCCUUCGGGUUGUAAAGCCCUUUUGUACGGGAAGAAAAGCUUCGGGCUAAUACCUUGGGGUCAUGACGGUACCGUAAGAAUAAGCACCGGCUAACUUCGUGCCAGCAGCCGCGGUAAUACGAAGGGUGCAAGCGUUACUCGGAAUUACUGGGCGUAAAGCGUGCGUAGGCGGUUUGUUAAGUCAGAUGUGAAAGCCCCGGGCUCAACCUGGGAAUUGCAUUUGAAACUGGCGAGCUAGAGUGUGGUAGAGGGUGGUGGAAUUCCCGGUGUAGCAGUGAAAUGCGUAGAGAUCGGGAGGAACAUCUGUGGCGAAGGCGGCCACCUGGACCAACACUGACGCUGAGGCACGAAAGCGUGGGGAGCAAACAG
This 428-nucleotide ribosomal RNA is filed under the name uncultured bacterium. Its description in RNAcentral is "bacterial SSU rRNA". It matches the Rfam family "Bacterial small subunit ribosomal RNA", at positions 355 to 775 of the family's 1533-position model. The record is from RNAcentral.